Helianthus annuus (common sunflower) is the source of this 974-nucleotide long non-coding RNA. RefSeq lists it as uncharacterized. NCBI's taxonomy places the organism in Eukaryota, Viridiplantae, Streptophyta, Magnoliopsida, Asterales, Asteraceae. The transcript is spliced from 5 exons. The record is from RefSeq and is a predicted model, not a curated record.
CUCAGCCCUUUAAACUCACAAAAAUAACUUCUUUUAGGGCAGUUUGCGUCGGUUCCACUGCAGUUAACAAAAGGGUCUCCACGUUCAUGUACCUGUGCGGUUUUCAAGAACACGUUCUCAUUGCACACAGUUAUUACCACUCCAUAUACUUCUCAUUCACAAUUCCUCAUGCUCCUUCCAGAAUACAUCUUGAUGUACCGUUAACAACAAUCAUCCCAACAACAAUGGCGGCUUAUAGAUUGGAUCGUUUAGCAAUCUCGGAGAUGAUGUCGGCGAUUCUGAGUUUCAUUUUGUCCAUAGAUCUGCCCUAAUUUCUUCAUUAUUCACAGAUAUGAAACGAUUACGAGAUGACAUGUUUAGUAAUCCACAAAUAAAGCAACCUUUUGGCUCUUUGUGUGGAGACUGGAGAAUAGUAUGUUAUUGUUUUUAUUUUUGAUUUUGUCGCGUUGUUAAUUUUGAUUAGUUUAUUGUUUUUUUAUUUGUUUUUUUUUGUUAAUGUCGGUGGUUAUUUUGUUUAAUUGUGUGUGAAUUUGAAUUUUGUUGACUAAUUAGAGUUGCAUGCACCUAUUCCAGCAGAUUUGAGUAUCAUAAAAUGAUGAUACACACCAAUUUGACAUCAUCAUGCCUUGGUGAUAUUUUUUUUAGUUUUUCUUUUGCUGUUUCUUUUUAAUUUUAUUUUCUACGUGAUGUUUAUCAUGAGUGAAUUGACCUGAAUUCCCCAUUUUCUUUUGAAUUUGUAGGUAUUGUUGUGAUUAUUGCCAUACUUACUUGACGCAUGAUUUUUCUGUGUAUCUAGAUGGUUUAGGCAAACAUGACUGCAUAGGGUCUUUAUGGAUACAAGGUCUCUAUAGCAAUUUCCCUUAUUCUUGGAGAUGGGUUCUACAAUUUGAUAACGAUAAUAGUGCUCGCUAUUAAGGUUUUCUUCAACACCUCCAGACAAGAAGAUCUCCCUGUGAUAAAGGACUUACCAGGCG